Molecule: ribosomal RNA, 254 nt
Filed under: uncultured bacterium
Lineage: Bacteria
Description: partial 16S ribosomal RNA
Rfam family: Bacterial small subunit ribosomal RNA
Source: RNAcentral
UACAGAGGUCCCGAGCGUUGUUCGGAUUCAUUGGGCGUAAAGGGUGCGUAGGCGGCGGGGCAAGUCUGAUGUGAAAUCCCGGGGCUCAACCCCGGAACUGCAUUGGAUACUGCCUUGCUUGGAGUACUGGAGAGGAGACUGGAAUUUACGGUGUAGCAGUGAAAUGCGUAGAUAUCGUAAGGAAGGCCAGUGGCGAAGGCGAGUCUCUGGACAGUUACUGACGCUGAGGCACGAAGGCCAGGGGAGCAAACGGG